This 726-nucleotide long non-coding RNA is filed under the name Marmota monax (woodchuck). The record is from RNAcentral. Lineage: Eukaryota; Metazoa; Chordata; Mammalia; Rodentia; Sciuridae.
GGAGGACCCGCCCUGCCCCCUAGCGCCCAGUUCCCUGGGCUCUGCCUGGGCCCUGAGAGUGCCAUCUGCAUUUAGGAAUGGCAGUCCAAGCUCUCAGGGUGAGUGCAGGGAUGCGGGUAAAGAAAGGAGAGUCCAGGCCCAGGGAAGGACACUGGGCAAAGCGAUGAGGACCCCCGUGCGGACCCACUCAGCUCUAGUAUGGCUACGGGACCUUGAGCAAGCCCCAGCUUCCUGCAACCAGAGGGAGCGCGAAUGGCGAUCUUCCAAACUAGUCAAAGCAGCCUUCACUCUCGCAAUUGGAUUCUGACCUGUCACUCACCAGCUGGGUAGCACGCAGGAAGUUACUUAACCUCUCUGAGUCCAUUUCCUCAAAUCAAAAACUGAACAGAGUGGUUGACGGGACUGAAUGGAGAGGGGACGGUCCUUGAUUGCCGGGAGCUCAGGGCACAGGGCUCUGACAAGGAGCUCAUUUUUUUCCCCUUUAAUUUUUAUUUUAUCAAAAUAAUGCCACACUCCGGUGAGUCUCCGACGUCACCGUCACUCACGUGCCACCUGGAGGAAACGCUGUCAGGGAUGCACCAAUUAUAGAAAGAUGCGCCCUGCUGUCGCAGCGCUGCGGUUGACUCAGGGCGCAGCGGAGGUGGCGCCGCGGUUUCCGGCCCGCGCCCUCGCCCCGCCCGCACCUCGGGCGGCCUGUCCCCUGCGCUUGGGCAUCUCGGGUUCCUG